GGCGGGUUGCCCGAGCGGCCAAAGGGAUCUGACUGUAAAUCAGACGGCACUGCCUUCACAAGUUCGAAUCUUGUACCCGCCA
This 82-nucleotide transfer RNA is filed under the name Gulosibacter chungangensis. Its description in RNAcentral is "Gulosibacter sp. CAU9625 tRNA". It matches the Rfam family "tRNA". Rfam says of the family: Transfer RNA (tRNA) molecules are approximately 80 nucleotides in length. Lineage: Bacteria; Bacillati; Actinomycetota; Actinomycetes; Micrococcales; Microbacteriaceae. The record is from Rfam by way of RNAcentral.